GACGAACGCUGGCGGCGUGCUUAACACAUGCAAGUCGAACGGAAAGGCCCUGCUUUUGUGGGGUGCUCGAGUGGCGAACGGGUGAGUAACACGUGAGUAACCUGCCCUUGACUUUGGGAUAACUUCAGGAAACUGGGGCUAAUACCGGAUAGGAGCUCCUGCUGCAUGGUGGGGGUUGGAAAGUUUAGGCGGUUGGGGAUGGACUCGCGGUUUAUCAGCUUGUUGGUGGGGUAGUGGCUUACCAAGCCUUUGACGGGUAGCCGGCCUGGGAGGGUGACCGGCCACAUUGGGACUGAGAUACGGCGCAGACGGCUACGGGAGGCAGCAGGGGGGAGUAUUGCACAAUGGGCGGAAGCCUGAGGCAGCAACCCCGCGUGCGGGAUGACGGCCUUCGGGUUGUAAACCGCUGCCGCCUGUGACGAAGCGUGAGUGACGGUAAUGGGUAAAGAAGCACCGGCUAACUACGUG
Molecule: ribosomal RNA, 468 nt
Filed under: uncultured bacterium
Lineage: Bacteria
Description: partial 16S ribosomal RNA
Rfam family: Bacterial small subunit ribosomal RNA
Source: RNAcentral